GACGAACGCUGGCGGCGUGCUUAACACAUGCAAGUCGAACGGUGAAGGAGAGCUUGCUCUCCGGAUCAGUGGCGAACGGGUGAGUAACACGUGGGCAACCUGCCCCAGACUUCGGGAUAACGCUUCGAAAGAGGUGCUAAUACCGGAUACGAACUCCUUGGGCAUCCUUGGAGUUGGAAAGUUUUUCGGUUUGGGAUGGGCCCGCGGCCUAUCAGCUUGUUGGUGAGGUAACGGCUCACCAAGGCGACGACGGGUAGCCGGCCUGAGAGGGCGACCGGCCACACUGGGACUGAGACACGGCCCAGACUCCUACGGGAGGCAGCAGUGGGGAAUAUUGCGCAAUGGGCGAAAGCCUGACGCAGCAGCGCCGCGUGAGGGAUGACGGCCUGCGGGUUGUAAACCUCUUUCAGCAGGGAAGAAGCGAAAGUGACGGUACCUGCAGAAGAAGCACCGGCUAACUACGUGCCAGCCGCCGCGGUAA
This 481-nucleotide ribosomal RNA is filed under the name uncultured bacterium. RNAcentral describes it as "partial 16S ribosomal RNA". It matches the Rfam family "Bacterial small subunit ribosomal RNA", at positions 28 to 523 of the family's 1533-position model. The record is from RNAcentral.